Molecule: long non-coding RNA, 1039 nt
Organism: Ctenopharyngodon idella (grass carp)
Lineage: Eukaryota; Metazoa; Chordata; Actinopteri; Cypriniformes; Xenocyprididae
Exons: 4
Source: RefSeq, a predicted model, not a curated record
CGCGCGCACAGUCGGUUCUUACGGGCCUAAGUGGAUAACCGCCUGCUUUUUAUCUGUAGGCUUGAUUCUUUUACUGUGUGCAUAAUAUGCAUAAAUAACGUGUGUAUUUACAGCAUAUAAUGUUUAUUGAUGCUAUAGAGAAAGAGAAAGAAAUAAAGCGAGCGCACUUUUGGAUUAUGUGAGAGUGGAAACCCUCUCUGGGCCAUGAAUCACGCAGAGGCCCUGGCGUGAGACGCCCGCCACCCACCACUCCUCGGCGGCUCCCAGGCCUCCUUUUUCGAAUACGGAUCAAAUCUGUUAAUGCCUGACAUUGGCUGUAAACCAGCUGUCCAUCAGCGGCCACGGGGCAGAUUUGUUAUGACUGAAGGGAUUCUGGGAUCGUCUCUGGGAAAAGCACUGAAAAAGCGAGCAAACGCUUACAGAGCAGUUCAUUUAUCACGAGUCCUUUGCCAUUUUAUAUGUUUCUCGAAACGCACCACAGAGGAUGGCCAACACCCAUUUCUAUCUUUAGAUGGGGGAAUCCACCCAAAAGCUGUCAAUCAUGUGGCCACAUCUCUCAAAAGAAAAGGACCCCCUGAGCUGAAUUCUACAGUGCUGAAACACAGCCAUCCACUGGUGUUCAACAGCCGCCUUGAGCCUCUGACAGUUGACCAGAGCAUAUGCAGGGACUUAAAAAGAUUACAAAACACCCAUUCUAAAACUUUUGGAAUGUAUACUAUACUGCUUAUGAUAUUUUUUUAAUUAAAUGUGAAUAUUUUGUGAGUGAAACAAGUGUUUAGUGUUAUGUCUGAGACAAUAACAGGUCACUAUUUCUACUUUUCAACUAGAUUUUGUUCACCUAACACUGAAACAUGCUUUCAAAAAGGUCUGUUUUUACCAAUUUUUACUUUAAACAAAAAUUAAAACCCCAAAUGGUACUAAAGCAGUUUAGCAUCUUAACUGAAUCAGUUUUUGUCAUUAAAAUACAGUGUGUGCAUUUAUCAUUUUUGGCUUGCAUGGAAUUAUUAAUUCAAUGAAAUAUCAUUUUCAUGAUGUGUAA